UUUAUAGUGAAAUCUCUAAAAGGUCUUUUAUAUAGGAAUGGAGGGAGUAUAUUAGAGAAUGUUUAGUGGUCAGUUAUGGAUUGCUGAUAUUCCUAUCAUGUGAACUACCCUGUUUUGGUCACAUGCCAUAGGUCAUGCAGAAACACUCCAGAUUUUUUUGUUCUGUAUGUAUAAUAUAUCUGAACUCUUGUUUUUCUUUCUUUGAUACUGGAUCAUUUUGUGUUGUUUCAGAAAUCUUACUUUUCUGCUUAAUUCCUUCUGUUUCUUUUAACUCUGAAAUCUUUAUUGCUUUUACCUCGAGUUCGCAGCAGUUGGCUAUUCUUGAUAUAGAUGUUAGAAAUAGCUAAUCGACUGAAUGUGUCUUUUGAAAUACAUAGUACUCCGUAUUAGAUAACAACUAGAUGAUACGAGACUCACAAUUUUUUUUCUCAAAAAAAUUGGGCAGUUAUGGGGAGCUUGUAUGAUAUUUCUGAGAAUGGUUUCUGUUUUAUGCUAUAUAUAUUUUGUGUUAUAUUUUUUCUUGCUUCAACAAGCUGAAGACUUGCCUAACUGUAUAAUUGAGGUGCUUGCCGAAAUCCCUCAAGUAAGCUGCUAGAUUUACCCUCAGGGUUAUCUUCUUUGAGAUGUCUUGAAAGCCUUGAUUUGUCAAACAACCCCCUAUCACUUAAACUCGUUUCUAUGCUCACACUAAUCUUCAGGUGUACUCUGAUCAGAAUUUCUGCUUUCCACUUUAAUUAUUUGCUAUGUUUUGAUCAUGGCGACAUAUUUCACAUUGUCUUUGACAGUGUUGGUUCUGAUCAUAUCAUCCAUGGCUCAGUUUAUAUAUGUUAUCUGCCGUUUUGGUGCUUAUUCUAUGGCAUUCAUUCACUUAUGAAACCCAACAUUCAUUAUUUGUCUCACCUAAUUGAUUAACUUGGAGAGAGAUGGGUGUGUUACUAACCUUUGGAGAAACGCUUUCCUGGAAGAUGCUUUCUUUGUACCAGGAAGGAAGGAAUUACUGGUGUUGUAUUAUUUAUUUACUUGUUCAGGGGCAUGUGCAGCUGCUGCUCCUGGCUGUAGGUGAACAUAUGGCAAACUGAUAAUGCCAGACCCCAUAUUGGUUCAUCACAUAAGCCAGAACUGAAUUCUAUUAGGAGUAUUUGUAUAAACUGGUUGCAUCGUGUGUUGUGUUGUCUGUGGUUGCAGGCAUUAUCAGAUCAGGGUGGUCUUGUGUGGUGAGCGAACCAUGUCCUUUGACGGCAACCGGAUUGGCACUCUGGUCAAGACCCUACUAAGGUUACUGCAGUCAUGACCAUAAUUGAGACUUCAGGAUAAAAGUCCCUGUGGUCGAGAGCAUCCCGUUUUCAAACAAAAGUGCUACCGCAACGGGUGCCUAGGUUAAGACUGUCAUUGAGUUUACUUCGUCAGGACAUCUUCAAAUAGGAGGUGGGACCCACAUGUUGUAUUUCCCCCUGAUUUUUCCCUUUUUGGCGCCUAGACUGCAGGGUAGUCAGUUUGCCAUCACCAUGAUUAAGCUUUGCCCUUCACAAUGGUUGUGGCAUUCAUCUUGCCCCUGUUCAAGGAAAUUUACUUCAGCAGGCAGGCAUCUGGUUUAAUA
This is a long non-coding RNA of Hordeum vulgare subsp. vulgare (domesticated barley), 1597 nucleotides long. RefSeq lists it as uncharacterized. The transcript has 2 exons. The record is from RefSeq and is a predicted model, not a curated record. Lineage: Eukaryota; Viridiplantae; Streptophyta; Magnoliopsida; Poales; Poaceae.